RNAcentral lists this long non-coding RNA (416 nucleotides) under Gossypium raimondii (Peruvian cotton). RNAcentral describes it as "long non-coding RNA (GRAI_LNC009459)". The record is from RNAcentral. Lineage: Eukaryota; Viridiplantae; Streptophyta; Magnoliopsida; Malvales; Malvaceae.
CAAAACAAACAAGCAAUUUCAGUACCUACCACGGCACACCAUCAAGUUGAUAACCUUAAAAAGGUUGGCCGGAUUAGAUGCCCUAGCCAUUAUAGAGGAACGCUUUGGCCGAGGGUCGUCGCCUUAUCAUAAGAAGCCAGCUCCAUACCAAUACUAUCAGGAACCAUGUGAGCCUUACUUUAGAAUCUACCGUCCCCCGGCCAGUACCGAAGCUAUGAGUUGCAGGAGGCAGGAGGGCAGCUGAAAACAUGGCGGGAAACUGAUUAAGGAUCAUGGCCACAUAAGUAAACCUUGUAGUCGGGGUUAUAUCUAUAAUUAACUUGGUUACCUUAGCUGCUUCUUUAUCUGCUGUUUUUUCAGUAUAACAGUAACAGCACUAAAACUACUGUUAGGCCUUCUCAGCCGAGAGUAGUUAC